Molecule: ribosomal RNA, 459 nt
Filed under: uncultured bacterium
Lineage: Bacteria
Description: partial 16S ribosomal RNA
Rfam family: Bacterial small subunit ribosomal RNA
Source: RNAcentral
CCUACGGGAGACAGCAGUGAGGAAUAUUGGUCAAUGGGCGGGAGCCUGAACCAGCCAAGUCGCGUGAGGGAAGAAGGUCCUGCGUAUUGUAAACCUCUUUUGCCAGGGAACAAAGGCUGCCACGGGUGCCCUUAUGUGUGUACCUGGAGAAAAAGCAUCGGCUAACUCCGUGCCAGCAGCCGCGGUAAUACGGAGGAUGCGAGCGUUAUCCGGAUUUAUUGGGUUUAAAGGGUGCGCAGGCGGCGUGUCAAGUCAGCGGUAAAAUGUCGGGGCUCAACCCCGGCCGGCCGUUGAAACUGGCGGGCUCGAGUUGGAGAGAAGUAGGCGGAAUUCGUGGUGUAGCGGUGAAAUGCUUAGAUAUCACGAAGAACCCCGAUUGCGAAGGCAGCAUACCGGAUCGACACUGACGCUGAGGCACGAAAGCGUGGGUAUCGAACAGGAUUAGAUACCCGUGUAGUC